This 467-nucleotide ribosomal RNA is filed under the name uncultured bacterium. Its description in RNAcentral is "partial 16S ribosomal RNA". It matches the Rfam family "Bacterial small subunit ribosomal RNA", at positions 29 to 507 of the family's 1533-position model. The record is from RNAcentral.
ACGCACGCUGGCGGCGUGCUUAACACCUGCCAGUCGAACGGAAAGGCCCUGCUUUUGUGGGGUGCUCGAGUGGCGAACGGGUGAGUAACACGUGAGUAACCUGCCCUUGACUUUGGGAUAACUUCAGGAAACUGGGGCUAAUACCGGAUAGGAGCUCCUGCUGCAUGGUGGGGGUUGGAAAGUUUCGGCGGUUGGGGAUGGACUCGCGGCUUAUCAGCUUGUUGGUGGGGUAGUGGCUUACCAAGGCUUUGACGGGUAGCCGGCCUGAGAGGGUGACCGGCCACAUUGGGACUGAGAUACGGCCCAGACUCCUACGGGAGGCAGCAGUGGGGAAUAUUGCACAAUGGGCGGAAGCCUGAUGCAGCAACGCCGCGUGCGGGAUGACGGCCUUCGGGUUGUAAACCGCUUUCGCCUGUGACGAAGCGUGAGUGACGGUAAUGGGUAAAGAAGCACCGGCUAACUACGUG